AUGUUCGCUAAAAGCUGGUUGCAAAACAGUCACUAAAGCCCACCAUUGCUAACGCCCAUCGCAAAGCAGUCGUUAAAUGCGAGUCACAUAAUAGCUUCUUUGGGACCGAGAAUUUGGUUUCUAAAAGCAGUCAACUCAUGGGCGGUCACAAACUUGCGUAGGAGCGAUGGUUUUUGCGUUCGUAAAUCUGUCACAAAAGACUUUUAGCAGUACGCAGUUUUGUACGUCGUGUAUGUAAAGUCUAAAUAAUUUGUACAUUUAUAAUGUAACUGUUAUAGUUUUUCUGAUUGUGAAAUUCUGAUUUGGUUUUGAAUGAAAGCAUCAAUGAUUUUAC
RNAcentral lists this long non-coding RNA (334 nucleotides) under Helianthus annuus (common sunflower). RNAcentral describes it as "hypothetical non coding rna". The record is from RNAcentral. Lineage: Eukaryota; Viridiplantae; Streptophyta; Magnoliopsida; Asterales; Asteraceae.